UACCUCAGAGCAGGCGAGAUCAC
Molecule: ribosomal RNA, 23 nt
Filed under: Sympetrum danae (black darter)
Lineage: Eukaryota; Metazoa; Arthropoda; Insecta; Odonata; Libellulidae
Description: partial 28S ribosomal RNA
Source: RNAcentral